Molecule: ribosomal RNA, 253 nt
Filed under: uncultured bacterium
Lineage: Bacteria
Description: partial 16S ribosomal RNA
Rfam family: Bacterial small subunit ribosomal RNA
Source: RNAcentral
GACGUAGGUGGCAAGCGUUGUCCGGAUUUACUGGGCGUAAAGAGCGCGCAGGCGGUCUUGUAAGUCGAAUGUGAAAGCCCCUGGCUCAACCGGGGAGGGUCAUUCGAUACUGCUCGACUCGAAGGCAGGAGAGGGAAGCGGAAUUCCCGGUGUAGUGGUGAAAUGCGUAGAUAUCGGGAGGAACACCGAUGGCGAAGGCAGAUCUCUGGGCCGUAACUGACGCUGAGGAGCGAAAGCAUGGGGAGCGAACAGG